Molecule: ribosomal RNA, 456 nt
Filed under: Shigella flexneri
Lineage: Bacteria; Pseudomonadati; Pseudomonadota; Gammaproteobacteria; Enterobacterales; Enterobacteriaceae
Description: bacterial SSU rRNA
Rfam family: Bacterial small subunit ribosomal RNA
Source: RNAcentral
UUUCUACGGGAGGCAGCAGUGGGGAAUAUUGCACAAUGGGCGCAAGCCUGAUGCAGCCAUGCCGCGUGUUGAAGAAGGCCUUCGGGUUGUAAAGUACUUUCAGCGGGGAGGAAGGGAGUAAAGUUAAUACCUUUGCUCAUUGACGUUACCGCAGAAGAAGCACCGGCUAACUCCGUGCCAGCAGCCGCGGUAAUACGGAGGGUGCAAGCGUUAAUCGGAAUUACUGGGCGUAAAGCGCACGCAGGCGGUUUGUUAAGUCAGAUGUGAAAUCCCCGGGCUCAACCUGGGAACUGCAUUGAUACUGGCAAGCUUGAGUCUCGUAGAGGGGGGUAGAAUUCCAGGUGUAGCGGUGAAAUGCGUAGAGAUCUGGAGGAAUACCGGUGGCGAAGGCGGCCCCCUGGACGAAGACUGACGCUCAGGUGCGAAAGCGUGGGGAGCAAACAGGAUUAGAUACCC